AUGAACGCUGGCGGCGUGCCUAAUACAUGCAAGUCGAGCGAACGGACGAGAAGCUUGCUUCUCUGAUGUUAGCGGCGGACGGGUGAGUAACACGUGGAUAACCUACCUAUAAGACUGGGAUAACUUCGGGAAACCGGAGCUAAUACCGGAUAAUAUUUUGAACCGCAUGGUUCAAAAGUGAAAGACGGUCUUGCUGUCACUUAUAGAUGGAUCCGCGCUGCAUUAGCUAGUUGGUAAGGUAACGGCUUACCAAGGCAACGAUGCAUAGCCGACCUGAGAGGGGGAGAGGGCACACUGGAACUGGGACACGGGGCCAAGACCCACGGGAGGCGGAGGUGGGGAGUCUCUCGCAAAGUGGGAAAACGCGAGAGGGCAACGCGCCGGGAGUGAUGAAGGGCUUCGGGGAGGAAAACCCUCUUUUUUGGGGAAAGAAUAUGUGUAAAAAAAAGUGCGCACAUUUGGGGGAUCCAUACAGAAAACCCCGGGUAAAACCGC
RNAcentral lists this ribosomal RNA (495 nucleotides) under uncultured bacterium. RNAcentral describes it as "partial 16S ribosomal RNA". It matches the Rfam family "Bacterial small subunit ribosomal RNA", at positions 30 to 506 of the family's 1533-position model. The record is from RNAcentral.